UCCUUGUUAGCUCAGUUGGUAGAGCGCUCCGCUUGAAAAGAGGUCCCUGGUUCAAUACCAGGACCAGGCA
RNAcentral lists this transfer RNA (70 nucleotides) under Ixodes scapularis (black-legged tick). It matches the Rfam family "tRNA". Rfam says of the family: Transfer RNA (tRNA) molecules are approximately 80 nucleotides in length. The record is from Rfam by way of RNAcentral. Lineage: Eukaryota; Metazoa; Arthropoda; Arachnida; Ixodida; Ixodidae.